Molecule: ribosomal RNA, 544 nt
Filed under: uncultured bacterium
Lineage: Bacteria
Description: bacterial SSU rRNA
Rfam family: Bacterial small subunit ribosomal RNA
Source: RNAcentral
AUGCAAGUCGAGCGCCGUAGCAAUACGGAGCGGCAGACGGGAGAGUAACACGUGGGAACGUACCCUUUGGUUCGGAACAACCCAGGGAAACUUGGGCUAAUACCGAAUAAGCCCUCACGGGGAAAGAUUCAUCGCCGAAGGAUCGGCCCGCGUCUGAUUAGCUAGUUGGUGGGGUAAUGGCCCACCAAGGCGACGAUCAGUAGCUGGUCUGAGAGGAUGAUCAGCCUCACUGGGACUGAGACACGGCCCAGACUCCUAUGGGAGGCAGCAGUGGGGAAUAUUGGACAAUGGGCGCAAGCCUGAUCCAGCCAUGCCGCGUGGGUGAUGAAGGCCCUAGGGUUGUAAAGCCCUUUCGGCGGGGAAGAUAAUGACGGUACCCGCAGAAGAAGCCCCGGCUAACUUCGUGCCAGCAGCCGCGGUAAUACGAAGGGGGCUAGCGUUGCUCGGAACCACUGGGCGUAAAGCGCACGUAGGCGGAUUGUUAAGUCAGGGGUGAAAUCCUGGAGCUCAACUCCAGAACUGCCUUUGAUACUGGCGAUCUUGA